GGGGAUGCCUUGGUUUCGACGUGAUUGAAGAGCUUUUGAUUGCAAGUCGUAAAUCAAAACGUAAAUUGAUAAUUAAAUAUAAACGCAAAUAACAAUAGCGAAGCAAACUUCGCACUAGCUGCCUAGUCAAUAGGAUAGCAAUGAAUAUUAGGCUUGUCGUUGGUUUAAUAUUCGUUUCAUAAUUAAACGACAACUGAUAUAACAAAGCUUUGAGUUAUAUUUAGUACUAUGAAGCUAGCAUAAAAGCUUUUUGUAAGUUUUUUAUUUUUUAUGCGAAAUCUUAAAACUUAAUAAGCUUGUAGAUGUCUUAAGUGAGGCUAUCACGGACACGAGUUCGAUUCUCGUCAUCUCCACCA
RNAcentral lists this transfer-messenger RNA (356 nucleotides) under Peptoniphilaceae. RNAcentral describes it as "Anaerococcus sp900258475 Standard tmRNA". It matches the Rfam family "transfer-messenger RNA". From Rfam's summary of the family: Bacterial tmRNA, also known as 10Sa RNA or SsrA, is named for its dual tRNA and mRNA-like properties. Its role is to liberate the mRNA from a stalled ribosome. Lineage: Bacteria; Bacillati; Bacillota; Tissierellia; Tissierellales. RNAcentral also lists the same sequence under 3 other names. The record is from RNAcentral.